AGUACAAGCUUCAUUGAAUGCAGCCUAAAAGUCCGCCAGGCCUAUAGCCACGGGGUGUAAUGGAGAAUAUUGCCUCCUAGACCUUAUCGUCACCCUUCAACAAGUAAUGUAUUAAAUGUGUUUACAUAGUAUUAUGUUAUGGUUUAGUGGAUUCCUCUAAAAUUUGGUUUGCUCCAUCUUAUGAUCUGGUCUGUCUACGGGCCUGAGACCCACACCAAAAAAGCUAAUAAUCAAAAACAAAGUGUCAAUCGGGAUUAAAUAAUAUGUGAUAAAGCGUGCACUAUACUUAUGGGCUUACGUUAUUUAAUUUUUUUAACGAGAUAUAACAAUUAAAAUUUGAUUACCCAUAUUUCGCUUCUUCUUGCUCAGUUUACCAGUUCGUUGAGGAUUAUUUCUCUUAUUACGAAGCCUCUGUUUUUU
Cinara cedri is the source of this 420-nucleotide non-coding RNA. NCBI's taxonomy places the organism in Eukaryota, Metazoa, Arthropoda, Insecta, Hemiptera, Aphididae. The record is from the annotation of a GenBank genome assembly.